CUGCGGGAGAGACUCCCAUCAGGGAGCGCCGAAGGCGCAACACGUCCGGAAACGCUCAGGCAAAAGGACCGCAGUAG
Molecule: non-coding RNA, 77 nt
Filed under: marine eukaryotic metagenome
Description: Glycine riboswitch
Rfam family: Glycine riboswitch aptamer
About the family: This family represents the bacterial glycine riboswitch. Glycine riboswitches usually consist of two metabolite-binding aptamers domains with similar structures in tandem.
Source: RNAcentral